CGAUGAUUGUGUCGAUACCAAGCUUCUGCACUUGAGCAACUUCAAGGAAAUAGUCCUCGACAAAUGAGCAGUAUUCAGAGUUCCUCUAGAUUCAUGGUCCCGCACAGUCAUUAUGGAUAAUCUAGUGCUUUUGGAAAAUGGUGCUUUAAGAGUCUUUACGAAGUGAUGGGCCCAUUAAUUAUCGCUUCAGGUUUCAGAUACGGUGGCUGCCGUUCCCCAAACAAAAUUGGAUUAAGGGAAUGCUCCAUGCUAAUGGAUAGCCUCUAUGUGGCGACAGGCAGGUCCAUGAAGAGUCGCUCGAAAUUAACAUUUUUGAGACUAUAAAGGAUGCACUGCCCCAUCAUCAGGUGGAUCGUCGAGGCCUUUUUCGAUGAUUGGAUUCCCAAAACUGGAGUCUAUAUAAGAAAAAUGAUGGCUUUCGGAUGUUAUCAUCCAUGCCUUUCUGAAGUGUUUGUGAUUCCCCGCUGCCUUAACCACAAUGAGGCCCUCCAAGAGAGAAGUGAAGCUGGCUGUUAAGAAGAAGCGGUUUGCAGCAAAGAGGGGGGCUACCCUACUUGAAAGGGCAAGAAAAAGAGGAUCGAGACAAUCCUUCAACAUCGGCUCCGAUACGUCGUCUCCUGAUCCUGCCCCCCAACCCCAUCGGAUGCAACCCAAAUAGGCUCU
RNAcentral lists this long non-coding RNA (663 nucleotides) under Elaeis guineensis (African oil palm). Its description in RNAcentral is "long non-coding RNA (EGUI_LNC040314)". Lineage: Eukaryota; Viridiplantae; Streptophyta; Magnoliopsida; Arecales; Arecaceae. The record is from RNAcentral.